RNAcentral lists this transfer RNA (74 nucleotides) under Burkholderiaceae bacterium. RNAcentral describes it as "tRNA-Val". It matches the Rfam family "tRNA". From Rfam's summary of the family: Transfer RNA (tRNA) molecules are approximately 80 nucleotides in length. The record is from RNAcentral. Lineage: Bacteria; Pseudomonadati; Pseudomonadota; Betaproteobacteria; Burkholderiales; Burkholderiaceae.
AGGCGCAUAGCUCAGCUGGUUAGAGCACCACCUUGACAUGGUGGGGGUCGUUGGUUCGAGUAGAAUUACGUCUU